This 468-nucleotide ribosomal RNA is filed under the name uncultured bacterium. RNAcentral's name for it is "partial 16S ribosomal RNA". It matches the Rfam family "Bacterial small subunit ribosomal RNA", at positions 28 to 507 of the family's 1533-position model. The record is from RNAcentral.
GACGAACGCUGGCGGCGUGCUUAACACAUUCCAGUCGAACGGAAAGGCCCUGCUUUUGUGGGGUGCUCGAGUGGCGAACGGGUGAGUAACACGUGAGUAACCUGCCCUUGACUUUGGGAUAACUUCAGGAAACUGGGGCUAAUACCGGAUAGGAGCUCCUGCUGCAUGGUGGGGGUUGGAAAGUUUCGGCGGUUGGGGAUGGACUCGCGGCUUCUCAGCUUGGUGGUGGGGUAGUGGCUUACCAAGGCUUUGACGGAUAGCCGGCCUGAGAGGGUGACCGGACAAAUUGGGACUGAGAUAAGGCCCAGACUCCUACGGGAGGCAGCAGUGGGGAAUAUUGCAGAAUGGGCGGAAGCCUGAUGCAGCAACGCCGCGUACGGGAUGACGGCCUUCGGGUUGUAAACCGCUUUCGCCUGUGACGAAGCGUGAGUGACGGUAAUGGGUAAAGAAGCACCGGCUAACUACGUG